Molecule: unclassified non-coding RNA, 233 nt
Filed under: plant metagenome
Description: partial contains small subunit ribosomal RNA, internal transcribed spacer 1, and 5.8S ribosomal RNA
Source: RNAcentral
UUUCCAUAGGUGAACCUGCGGAAGGAUCAUUAUUGGAUUUUGAAACUUCAGGCUGCUGCUGGCUCUCCUCGGAGGGCAUGUGCACGCUCGUUGUCCAUUAUUUCUCCCACUGUGCACAAAUUGUAGACCUUUCAGUAGGCCUAUGUUGUUUUUCACAAUCUCUGAAUGUAAUAGAAUGGUUUUGAAUCUUGGGAAAUACAAUACAACUUUCAGCAACGGAUCUCUUGGCUCUC